GCCACGGUAGCACAAUCGGUCAGUGCAGUAGACUGAACAAUUGUAGAUGCGGGUUCGAAUCUCAUCUGAGAUU
RNAcentral lists this transfer RNA (73 nucleotides) under Dictyocaulus viviparus (bovine lungworm). It matches the Rfam family "tRNA". Rfam says of the family: Transfer RNA (tRNA) molecules are approximately 80 nucleotides in length. Their secondary structure includes four short double-helical elements and three loops (D, anti-codon, and T loops). The record is from Rfam by way of RNAcentral. Lineage: Eukaryota; Metazoa; Nematoda; Chromadorea; Rhabditida; Metastrongylidae.